UUCGUAGCUGGUCUGUUAAGUCUCUGGGGAAAUCUACUGGCUUAACCAAUAGGCGUCUCAGGGAUACUGGCAGACUAGGGACCGGGAGAGGUGAGAGGUACUCCAGGGGUAGGAGUGAAAUCCUGUAAUCCUUGGGGGACCACCUGUGGCGAAGGCGUCUCACCAGAACGGCUCCGACAGUGAGGGACGAAAGCUGGGGGAGCAAACCGGAUUAGAUACCCGGGUAGUCCCAGCCGUAAACGAUGCGCGUUAGGUGUAUCGGUGACCACGAGUCACCGAGGUGCCGAAGAGAAAUCGUGAAACGUGCCGCCUGGGAAGUACGGUCGCAAGGCUGAAACUUAAAGGAAUUGGCGGGGGAGCACCACAACAGGUGGAGCCUGCGGUUUAAUCGGACUCAACGCCGGAAAUCUCACCGGAUAAGACAGCUGAAUGAUAGUCGGGCUGAAGACUCUACUUGACUAGCUGAGAGGAGGUGCAUGGCCGUCGUCAGUUCGUACUGUGAAGCAUA
This 508-nucleotide ribosomal RNA is filed under the name uncultured Methanomicrobiaceae archaeon. Its description in RNAcentral is "bacterial SSU rRNA". It matches the Rfam family "Archaeal small subunit ribosomal RNA", at positions 518 to 1025 of the family's 1478-position model. The record is from RNAcentral. Lineage: Archaea; Methanobacteriati; Methanobacteriota; Methanomicrobia; Methanomicrobiales; Methanomicrobiaceae.